GACGAACGCUGGCGGCGUGCUUAACACAUGCAAGUCGAACGGAAAGGCCCUGCUUUUGUGGGGUGCUCGAGUGGCGAACGGGUGAGUAACACGUGAGUAACCUGCCCUUGACUUUGGGAUAACUUCAGGAAACUGGGGCUAAUACCGGAUAGGAGCUCCUGCUGCAUGGUGGGGGUUGGAAAGUUUCGGCGGGUGGGGAUGGACUCGCGGCUUAUCAGCUUGUUGGUUGGGUAGUGGCUUACCGAGGCUUUGACGGGUAGCCGGCCUGAGAGGGUGACCGGCCACAUUGGGACUGAGAUACGGCCCAGACUCCUACGGGAGGCAGCAGGGGGGAAUAUUGCACAAUGGGCGGAAGCCUGAUGCAGCAACGCCGCGGGCGGGAUGACGGCCUUCGGGUUGUAAACCGCUUUCGCCUGUGACGAAGCGGGAGUGACGGUAAUGGGUAAAGAAGCACCGGCUAACUACGUG
This 468-nucleotide ribosomal RNA is filed under the name uncultured bacterium. RNAcentral's name for it is "partial 16S ribosomal RNA". It matches the Rfam family "Bacterial small subunit ribosomal RNA", at positions 28 to 507 of the family's 1533-position model. The record is from RNAcentral.